ACACACACACACACACACACACACACACACACACUGACAGCAAGGCCUGGAAAGGUGGCCUGGAACCGCUUUGCCACUUGCAAUCCACCCGCGAGGCCCCCUGGGGAAAUGCUCAUCACCCGGCUGGGAAGGCCGUUACUGUGUUCAGCCAUUUCUCCCAGGCCGGGGUCCUGGACUUGCUCUCUUCUUGGCACCACCCCCCUUUCCCCCACCUGCCGCCUGCAGGAGGGCUUGGAGAGGGGUGUCUCCCUGGCCCAGCUCCUGUGCUGUGAGAACAACCCGGGUCAGCCUGUACGAUCUGUGAACACAGGAGCCGAGCGGACCUGGCGUGGGGCGGCCAGCGCAUCUGCAGUUCUGUCGCCCACUCUGGGGAGCGGCCUUCCUCCAGAGGGGCAGGCGCACCCCUUGCCCCGCCUGGGCUCGGCACUCCCACCGGGGCUGCGGAGGUCCUGAGGAGGCGGGACUCCUUCCAGAUGGAGGCUGCCACAUGUCCUCCAGAAGCUUUCCCAGGGGGUCCUGAGACCCGGUCCCUGUCCCUGCAGACGCGGCCCCACGUCCUCCGGAAGCCCCCACAGCGGGUCCUGAGGAGGCGGGGCUCCCCUAGCCGUGGACGCAGUACCACGUCCCCUAACACGCAGUACAGGACCCUCCAGAGCGGGACCUGAAGCGGCCGGGUCCUGUUGGUGUGGCCGUGGCCCCAAGUCCUCCCGAAGCCCCCACAGCGGGUCCCGAGGCAGCGGAGCGCCCGCUACCCACGCGGAGGUCCUUCCAGGUCUUGGCUUCUUCAGGAGCUGCCCUUGUGCUCAUCUGCUUUCCUGGCACGCCGUCUCUCAUGCUUCCUCAGCACCACCCCCCAUACCCGAGUGGCAGCCUAAUUUCUGCCUGUCCAGGACCUUAAGAGUGAGUCCUGGGACCAUCUGCUUCGCGGUGCCCUCCUGCUAGAGUGGCACAAACAACACCCAAGCCAUGCUGAUGGCAGACACCACUGCCCCCCCCAACCCCACCUCACUGAGCCCUUCCAAGAGCCCAUGACUACCCACAUGACUACUACAAUCCCCUUUAAGAAAUGAGCAAAAAAGGCCACAGAGGUCUCGCCAGAUCAGGCCACCGACGUGAG
Long non-coding RNA from Suricata suricatta (meerkat), 1117 nucleotides. RefSeq lists it as uncharacterized. Lineage: Eukaryota; Metazoa; Chordata; Mammalia; Carnivora; Herpestidae. The record is from RefSeq and is a predicted model, not a curated record. The transcript has 4 exons.